UACGAAGGGGGCUAGCGUUACUCGGAAUUAUUGGGCGUAAAGAGUGCGUAGGCGGUAGAAUAAGUUGGGAGUGAAAGCCUUUGGCUUAACCAAAGAAUUGCUUUCAAAACUGUUCUGCUAGAGUACCAAAAGAGAUAGAAGAAUUCCUAGUGUAGAGGUGAAAUUCGUAGAUAUUAGGAGGAAUACCAGAGGCGAAAGCGUCUAUCUAGUUGGUAACUGACGCUGUUGCACGAAAGCGUGGGGAGCAAACAGG
This 253-nucleotide ribosomal RNA is filed under the name uncultured bacterium. RNAcentral's name for it is "partial 16S ribosomal RNA". It matches the Rfam family "Bacterial small subunit ribosomal RNA", at positions 524 to 776 of the family's 1533-position model. The record is from RNAcentral.